UAUAUAAUAUCAAGAAUAAACAUAUAUAUCACGUAGCCAUCAAUUAAUAACAAUCCAAUAACAUAUAAUCACAUUCGGCACCUUUAACAACAAUUAUUCACAUUCUCGACUCCAUCAUAUUAUUAUGUCAUAUCAAGCUAGACUUUAUAAGCUUUCAUCUCUCUUUCGUUUCACUUGAUUCCGACUUACGGAUCAAAAGUUAUGCUCAAAACCGUUUCCUCACUCUCUAUCGGCACAUAACACAUCAAAUAGAUAGUAAUCUUCAUAUAACACAUAAGGUUUCCCACCCCAAUUGAUGUCAAAUCAACUCUUAGGUUCAAAAUGAUUUUUCGGGAAUUUUCUGUAAUUUUUAAACAUUUUUCGGAAUUAAAAUCGAUAAAAGAAUCACUUUUCGGAUAAAUAAUCAAGUCCCAAAUACUUGAAGUUGGACUUGAAAUCAUUCAUAAACAAUUAUCGAGCCUUGAAAAUAAUUUGGAAAAAAUAUUUUAAAGCUUGAAACUAUUUUUCGGAAUUUUUAAAUCAAAAAGGAUAAUUAAAUCCAAUUAAUUAAUCAAUUAAAAUCAAUUAAUAAUUAAUUAAAAUAAUUAAUCAAUUAAUAUUUAAAUUAAUUGACCAAUUAAAAUAAUUAAUUACUAAUUAAAAUUAAUUAAAUAGACAUAUAUAUCACGUAAUCAUUAAUUAAUAACAAUCCAAUAACACAUAAUCACAUUCGGCACAUUUAACAACAAUUAUUCACAUUCUCGACUCCAUCAUAUUAUUAUGUCAUAUCAAGCUAGACUUUAUAAGCUUUCAUCUCUCUUUCGUUUCACUUGAUUCCGACUUACGGAUCAAAAGUUAUGCUCAAAACCGUUUCCUCACUCUCUAUCGGCACAUAACACAUCAAAUAGAUAGUAAUCUUCAUAUAACACAUAAGGUUUCCCACCCCAAUUGAUGUCAAAU
RNAcentral lists this long non-coding RNA (939 nucleotides) under Daucus carota (carrot). RNAcentral's name for it is "long non-coding RNA (DCAR_LNC001007)". Lineage: Eukaryota; Viridiplantae; Streptophyta; Magnoliopsida; Apiales; Apiaceae. The record is from RNAcentral.